UAAUACGUAGGGUGCAAGCGUUAAUCGGAAUUAUUGGGCGUAAAGGGUGCGCAGGCGGUUUUGUAAGUCAGAUGUGAAAUCCCCGGGCUUAACCUGGGAAUUGCGUUUGAAACUACAAGACUAGAGUGUGGCAGAGGGGGGUGGAAUUCCAUGUGUAGCAGUGAAAUGCGUAGAGAUGUGGAAGAACAUCGAUGGCGAAGGCAACCCCCUGGGUUAACACUGACGCUCAGGCACGAAAGCGUGGGGAGCAAACAGG
This 256-nucleotide ribosomal RNA is filed under the name uncultured bacterium. RNAcentral's name for it is "partial 16S ribosomal RNA". It matches the Rfam family "Bacterial small subunit ribosomal RNA", at positions 521 to 776 of the family's 1533-position model. The record is from RNAcentral.